GAAAUGCGAUAAGUAAUGUGAAUUGCAGAAUUCCGUGAAUCAUCGAAUCUUUGAACGCACAUUGCGCCCUCUGGUAUUCCGGGGGGCAUGCCUGUCCGAGCGUCAUUGCGAACCCCUCAAGCACGGCUUGUGUGAUGGGCCCUCCCGCGUCUUGGUCGUCAAGACGGGCCCGAAAUGCAGUGGCGGCUUCGCGGUUAUCCGAUCAGCCAGAGCGUAUGGGGACUUUCUCUCUGUCACACGCCCGCGGCGCGGACCGACGCCUGUCGACCUUCAUUCAUCGUUUUCUCGGUUUACCUCGGAUCAGGUAGGGAUACCCGCUGAACUUAAGC
This 329-nucleotide unclassified non-coding RNA is filed under the name plant metagenome. RNAcentral's name for it is "partial contains 5.8S ribosomal RNA, internal transcribed spacer 2, and large subunit ribosomal RNA". The stretch from base 1 to 105 matches the Rfam family "5.8S ribosomal RNA", at positions 50 to 154 of the family's 154-position model. The record is from RNAcentral.